GACGAACGCUGGCGGCGUGCUUAACACAUGCAAGUCGAACGGAAAGGCCCUGCUUUUGUGGGGUGCUCGAGUGGCGAACGGGUGAGUAACACGUGAGUAACCUGCCCUUGACUUUGGGAUAACUUCAGGAAACUGGGGCUAAUACCGGAUAGGAGCUCCUGCUGCAUGGUGGGGGUUGGAAAGUUUCGGCGGUUGGGGAUGGACUCGCGGUUUAUGAGCUUGUUGGUGGGGUAGUGGCUUACCAAGGCUUUGCCGGGUAGCCGGCCUGAGAGGGUGACCGGCCACAUUGGGACUGAGAUACGGCCCAGACUCCUACGGGAGGCAGCAGUGGGGAAUAUUGCACAAUGGGCGGAAGCCUGAUGCAGCAACGCCGCGUGCGGGAUGACGGCCUUCGGGUUGUAAACCGCUUUCGCCUGUGACGAAGCGUGAGUGACGGUAAUGGGUAAAGAAGCACCGGCUAACUACGUG
Molecule: ribosomal RNA, 468 nt
Filed under: uncultured bacterium
Lineage: Bacteria
Description: partial 16S ribosomal RNA
Rfam family: Bacterial small subunit ribosomal RNA
Source: RNAcentral